Molecule: transfer RNA, 78 nt
Filed under: Cronobacter sakazakii
Lineage: Bacteria; Pseudomonadati; Pseudomonadota; Gammaproteobacteria; Enterobacterales; Enterobacteriaceae
Also listed under: 1 other name
Description: tRNA-Pro
Source: RNAcentral
CGACGCAGGUUUGAAGGGAUUUAAAUCGUUGUCAUGGGGUGUCAGGGGUCGGAGGUUCAAAUCCUCUCGUGCCGACCA